This is a long non-coding RNA of Amphiprion ocellaris (clown anemonefish), 740 nucleotides long. RefSeq lists it as uncharacterized. The record is from RefSeq and is a predicted model, not a curated record. The transcript is spliced from 2 exons. NCBI's taxonomy places the organism in Eukaryota, Metazoa, Chordata, Actinopteri, Pomacentridae.
UCUGAGGGGGCGGAGCCAAAUCAUUACGACAUCAGACUCACCUGGACUGAUCACCUGAGAACUAUUUAACCUGCCACUCGGUCUGAUUGAUUCUUCUGUUCUGGUUUUAUCUGGUGUGUUUGUCCAACCUGCAGCUCAGGUCCCUCUCUAUCUCCCCACACAUCCACCAACCACUGGAACACAUCUCCAAAGUUCUGCCGGGCCAGCUCAGCUUCCCCUCAGAAGAAGUGCUGCCACCUGCCAGAUGAAGGAGCCUUUUGAGAGGCAGCUGGCAUCGUGAUUGGACUGUACUUUGGUCUGUUCCAAUCCAGCUUCAGCUCCAGAGACGGCAGGCGGGACGAGUCAACGGAGGCCUGGUGGAUGAAGACAUGCAGCUGAGUACAAUCCAGAAAACAACAGAGGAGGAGUGUAGUGGCCCAGAGCCAGAACAAACAGAGUAGCAUCGUAUAUCUCUUAGAAAACAUCAUAGUAUAGCCUUUGGUAUGAAAAAACGGCAUCAUAUACAUCAUAUAUUGUACAAAUAACAAGUCAAAGGAAAGAGACAUACAUUGUAGAAUUGUAGUAAUUGUGGGCUGACUGAUUUACUGAUUAUCAGUAUUUUAUUUUUUACUGAUUUACAGUAAUAAAUACAUUUAAAAAUGGCGCUACUUUGGCUCUGAACCUUUAUCUACCUGUGGUCGCUCUGUCUUCUGGAGUGAUUUGAUUGGUUAUACGUCACGAAUAAAACUCCUUUAACUUAA